AGUCAUUACCUCAACCGCAAGGAGGGGGAUGCCUAAGGCAGGGCUAGUGACUGGGGUGAAGUCGUAACAAGGUAGCCGUACCGGAAGGUGUGGCUGGAUCACCUCCUUAAAGGGAGACCUAAUUCAGGUAGGAGACGAAAAAAAAGUAGUCCCUACCAAGAAUCAAUCCCAAAAGGUCGGAGCGAGGCAAAAUUGGCUUUCAAACUAGGUUCUGGGUUCACACAAGACCUGAAUCAGGAACAAGGGCUAUUAGCUCAGGUGGUUAGAGCGCACCCCUGAUAAGGGUGAGGUCCCUGGUUCGAGUCCAGGAUGGCCCACCUGUACAGGUGGCAAAAAGAAAGAAAAGAAGCGAGGAAUCAGCACCUUAUCUUACUUAUAUAGUAAGAGAGAAUGCUGGCUCUGAGUUCAGAGUCCAGAGGAACCUUGAAAACUGCAUAG
This 438-nucleotide unclassified non-coding RNA is filed under the name Microcystis aeruginosa NIVA-CYA 162/3. RNAcentral's name for it is "partial contains 16S ribosomal RNA, 16S-23S ribosomal RNA intergenic spacer, and 23S ribosomal RNA". The stretch from base 1 to 109 matches the Rfam family "Bacterial small subunit ribosomal RNA", at positions 1425 to 1533 of the family's 1533-position model. Lineage: Bacteria; Bacillati; Cyanobacteriota; Cyanophyceae; Chroococcales; Microcystaceae. The record is from RNAcentral.